Sinocyclocheilus grahami is the source of this 392-nucleotide long non-coding RNA. RefSeq lists it as uncharacterized. The record is from RefSeq and is a predicted model, not a curated record. The transcript has 3 exons. Lineage: Eukaryota; Metazoa; Chordata; Actinopteri; Cypriniformes; Cyprinidae.
CCCAAAUCUGACAAAGAAACACGACUGGCAACAGCCAUGGCUGGGCGGACAGAUAGGAAAGAGUUUGUUAGAAAGAGGAGUAAGCUAAACCCGUUCGCCAGCACCAGUAACAAGGAGAAGAAACGGAAAAAGAACUUCAUGAUGAUGAAACACAGUCAGAAUGUGAGGAGCAAAGGAAAACGCUCCUUCAGAGAUAAACAGAUUGCAUUAAGAGAUGCACUCCUGAAGAAGAGAAAACACAAGUAAAUCUCAUCUGUGACGGACUGGAGCUGAUUUGAUGGGUCGUGUCAUGAUAUGAUCUCUGUGAACCAUUCUGUGUACAGGAAGACAACAUACAGACUUCUUGGCUGUGUGGAUUUUCAUGUUGCCUGUUAAUAAACAUUUGAAACUUU